This 503-nucleotide ribosomal RNA is filed under the name uncultured bacterium. Its description in RNAcentral is "partial 16S ribosomal RNA". It matches the Rfam family "Bacterial small subunit ribosomal RNA", at positions 29 to 523 of the family's 1533-position model. The record is from RNAcentral.
AGCGAACGCUGGCGGCAGGCUUAACACAUGCAAGUCGAGCGGGGUGAUGGUGCUUGCACUAUCACUUAGCGGCGGACGGGUGAGUAAUGCUUAGGAAUCUGCCUAUUAGUGGGGGACAACAUCUCGAAAGGGAUGCUAAUACCGCAUACGUCCUACGGGAGAAAGCAGGGGAUCACUUGUGACCUUGCGCUAAUAGAUGAGCCUAAGUCGGAUUAGCUAGUUGGUGGGGUAAAGGCCUACCAAGGCGACGAUCUGUAGCGGGUCUGAGAGGAUGAUCCGCCCAACUGGGACUGAGACACGGCCCAGACUCCUACGGGAGGGAGCAGUGGGGAAUAUUGGACAAUGGGGGGAACCCUGAUCCAGCCAUGCCGCGUGUGUGAAGAAGGCCUUAUGGUUGUAAAGCACUUUAAGCGAGGAGGAGGCUCUUUUGGUUAAUACCCAAGAUGAGUGGACGUUACUCGCAGAAUAAGCACCGGCUAACUCUGUGCCAGCAGCCGCGGUAA